GAUGCUAUUUCUAGAGAUAGAAAGUUACUUCGGUACAUCGGUGACAGGUGGUGCAUGGUUGUCGUCAGCUCGUGUCGUGAGAUGUUGGUUAAGUCCCGCAACGAGCGCAACCCCUAUUGUUAGUUGCCAUCAUUCAGUUGGGCACUCUAGCGAGACUGCCGGUAAUAAACCGGAGGAAGGUGGGAUGACGUCAAAUCAUCAUGCCCCUUAUGACCUGGGCUACACACGUGCUACAAUGGUUGGUACAACGAGUUGCGAGUCGGUGACGGCGAGCUAAUCUCUUAAAGCCAAUCUCAGUUCGGAUUGUAGGCUGCAACUCGCCUACAUGAAGUCGGAAUCGCUAGUAAUCGCGGAUCAGCACGCCGCGGUGAAUACGUUCCCGGGCCUU
Molecule: ribosomal RNA, 388 nt
Filed under: uncultured Streptococcus sp.
Lineage: Bacteria; Bacillati; Bacillota; Bacilli; Lactobacillales; Streptococcaceae
Description: bacterial SSU rRNA
Rfam family: Bacterial small subunit ribosomal RNA
Source: RNAcentral